This 1422-nucleotide long non-coding RNA is filed under the name Macaca mulatta (Rhesus monkey). Its description in RNAcentral is "lncRNA (ENSMMUG00000055247.1)". The record is from RNAcentral. Lineage: Eukaryota; Metazoa; Chordata; Mammalia; Primates; Cercopithecidae.
UUAUAUAAAUUAUAUAAGUCCUGUCUUCUUCCUAGGGUCUAAAUCAACCUCUGGUAAUGAAGGGCCUGGAGCCAGAUAUGAGCUUCUUGGAGCUUGUGGCAGUUUCUGGUGGAGGUCAGCUAUCCUUGUCAUCUACCUUGGCCCCUCUGUAGGGGAUGAGCUCAGGGCUACACUUUUCCUUCCAGGUUCUCAUGGUGUGGUCCGGGCUCCAUUUCUUUCUCUUUGAACCUCACUUCAACAUGAUUAGAGUGACCGAAGCAUUUAGAACCAUUCAGCCUUCUGAAAUGCUUACCGUCGUGAUCUAAGGGCAUGACUCUGACUCUGAGAGGGAGGUAAAUAACAAAGCCAGUGUUGUCCUGGCCAGGAAGCCGUAGAGGUAAGCCACUUUGUCUUUACAUCUAAGCACCCUGCCCUGCACCCAGUUCAGUCAGUAGUGAUGUCAAGUCUUGCCCCAGUUUAUCUCCCAGGGAUAUUAGAAUAAACACAUUUGGAAACUAAAGAUGCCAUGUAAACACAGUAAAUUUAUCCCAUUUUUGUUUAACAUCUUAAGGGCUAGAAUUUCCAGUUGUCUCUUCACACAAACUUCUUGCUGAGAGAGGGGGCGAGGCUACUUGAAUUUGAAGAUGUUGAUUUUUGCCCCAAAUAUAGCUUUUUUGAACUACAGAUUCUUACUAAUACAGGGUAAGUACACCUCAUUGAGCGGGUGACUUUUACAGCAGGAGGGCUACAGUUUCACCUGAGAAGCGACACAUGGAUUGUGUGUCCUGACACAGCAGUGAGAAGUCCUCUGUUCUGUGCAUUCUGUGACUCCACACUCAGGCACCAUCACUGACAGGUAAAAGUGCUGCUGCUUAUGGUGGCAAUGGAUAGUCACACUGUAGAAUUUUUUUUAAUGGAAGUUAAGUUUGCAAAGUAAACACCUCUUUUCAAAAAUUAGAACUUAGAUCGAAACUCAUUUAUGAAAGAAUCACAUGGCUGUGUCAACAGCUUAGAAGAAGUUCACUUUUUUUUUUUUUUUAAACUUUUCCUGUUACCCAGAUAGGCAAAAAUAAAUUCUGGAUCAUCCACUGAGGUUUCCAAAUGGUCCCCCUGAACCAGGGUUUCUAAAUAGCACUGUCAGCGUUUUGCUUCUGAUCAUUCUUUAUUGUUAGGGCUGUUCUGUGCACUGUAGCAGAAACCCUGGCCCCUCAGAAGCCAAAAUCAGCCAUGGUUAAAAUAUCACUGUUCUAAACUAAACCAAAGUGAACAAAUAUCGAACAAGAUACCUGGGACCCUGGCCUUGGUUUCCACUUUGUCACCCCUUGGUCCUUUGUUGUCCCUUUCCACACCUGUAAAAUGGGUGUAGUGCCACCUGCUUCAUUCAUUCACCCCGUAGCAUAUGUCAGGAUCAUUGAAACAGGGCCUGGCGUGCUGGAGAUGAUU